UACGGAGGUUGCGAGCGUUAUCCGGAUUUAUUGGGUUUAAAGGGUGCGUAGGCGGUUUGAUAAGUCAGUGGUGAAAGUUUGCAGCUUAACUGUAAAAUUGCAUUGAUACUGUCAGACUUGAGUACAGAUGAGGUAGGCGGAAUGUGUGGUGUAGCGGUGAAAUGCUUAGAUAUCACACAGAACACCGAUUGCGAAGGCAGCUUACUAAACUGACACUGACGCUGAGGCACGAAAGUGUGGGGAUCAAACAGGAUUA
This 256-nucleotide ribosomal RNA is filed under the name uncultured prokaryote. Its description in RNAcentral is "partial 16S ribosomal RNA". It matches the Rfam family "Bacterial small subunit ribosomal RNA", at positions 524 to 780 of the family's 1533-position model. The record is from RNAcentral.